Molecule: long non-coding RNA, 408 nt
Filed under: Homo sapiens (human)
Lineage: Eukaryota; Metazoa; Chordata; Mammalia; Primates; Hominidae
Description: HSALNT0108664
Source: RNAcentral
CUGGAGUUCAGUGGCACAGUCAUGGCUCACUGCAGCUUCAACCUCCAAGGCUCAAUUGAUCCCCGCGCCUCAGCCUCCCGAGUAGCUGGGACUACAAAUCCUGAAGUCAACCAGGAACUGGUUGGCUCUUGAUGAAGAAAUAUUUAACAUCAGAGUAAGUGUUCUAGAGAUUAAUGGCUGCUGUUUGGCAAGGUCCAUAGACGUCCUUUCCUGCCAAUACAAAUAUAUACAUUGUUGAAGCACAAGACUAUAUCCACAGAUAGGAUUACAUGUUAACUGAAAAGAUUCAAGAUAUAAUGAGGCACGUGAAAGAUGCAGAAGACACAGCUUCUCUCAGAAGUUUUUUUGGGCAACAAGGUGAAACCCCUUUGAUGGUCUUCAGAAAAAAUGAAAGUAAGAUUUUAACCU